This 253-nucleotide ribosomal RNA is filed under the name uncultured bacterium. RNAcentral describes it as "partial 16S ribosomal RNA". It matches the Rfam family "Bacterial small subunit ribosomal RNA", at positions 524 to 776 of the family's 1533-position model. The record is from RNAcentral.
UACGUAGGAGGCAAGCGUUGUCCGGAAUUACUGGGUGUAAAGCGCGUGUAGGCGGCAGGCCAAGUCUGUGGUGAAAUCCCACGGCUCAACCGUGGAAGUGCACUCGAAACUGCGCAGCUAGAGUCCUGGAGAGGAAGGUGGAAUGCUUGGUGUAGAGGUGAAAUUCGUAGAUAUGGGGAGGAACACCGGUGGCGAAGGCGGCCAUCUGGACGGUAACUGACGCUGAGACGCGAAAGCGUGGGGAGCAAACAGG